CCUACGGGAGGCAGCAGUGGGGAAUCUUGCACAAUGCGCGAAAGCGUGAUGCAGCAACGCCGCGUGGGAGAAGAAGGCCUUCGGGUUGUAAAUCCCUUUCAGUUGGGACGAAGCUUCGUCAGUUAAUAGCUGACUGGAGUGACGGUACCUUCAGAAGAAGCCCCGGCUAACUACGUGCCAGCAGCCGCGGUAAUA
RNAcentral lists this ribosomal RNA (195 nucleotides) under uncultured bacterium. Its description in RNAcentral is "partial 16S ribosomal RNA". It matches the Rfam family "Bacterial small subunit ribosomal RNA", at positions 338 to 525 of the family's 1533-position model. The record is from RNAcentral.